Molecule: non-coding RNA, 26 nt
Filed under: Mus musculus (house mouse)
Lineage: Eukaryota; Metazoa; Chordata; Mammalia; Rodentia; Muridae
Source: RNAcentral
UGAGAAUGUGAUAUGGCUAUCCAAGG